Molecule: ribosomal RNA, 253 nt
Filed under: uncultured bacterium
Lineage: Bacteria
Description: partial 16S ribosomal RNA
Rfam family: Bacterial small subunit ribosomal RNA
Source: RNAcentral
UACGGAGGGUGCAAGCGUUAUCCGGAUUUAUUGGGUUUAAAGGGUCCGUAGGCGGACGACUAAGUCAGUGGUGAAAUCCAACAGCUCAACUGUUGAACUGCCAUUGAUACUGAUCGUCUUGAGUAUGUUAGAUGUUGGCGGAAUAGGUCAUGUAGCGGUGAAAUGCUUAGAUAUGACCUAGAACACCGAUUGCGAAGGCAGCCAACAAUGCCAUUACUGACGCUGAGGGACGAAAGCGUGGGGAGCGAACAGG